UGGGGCAGCAUGACUGUAGCAAUACAGUUGAUGGCGACCGGCAAACGGGUGCGGAACACGUACACAACCUUCCUUUUAGUGGAGAAUAGCCCAGGGAAACUUGGAUUAAUACUCCGUAACAUAUAGAAGUGGCAUCACUUUUAUAUUAAAGCAGCAAUGCGCUAGAAGAUGGGUGUGCGGCUGAUUAGAUAGUUGGCGGGGUAACGGCCCACCAAGUCGACGAUCAGUAACUGGUGUGAGAGCACGACCAGUCACACGGGCACUGAGACACGGGCCCGACUCCUACGGGAGGCAGCAGUAAGGAAUAUUGGUCAAUGGACGCAAGUCUGAACCAGCCAUGCCGCGUGGAGGAUGAAGGUCCUCUGGAUUGUAAACUUCUUUUAUCUGGGAAGAAAUCCAUUUUUUCUAAAAUGGUUGACGGUACCAGAUGAAUAAGCACCGGCUAACUCCGUGCCAGCAGCCGCGGUAAUACGGAGGGUGCAAGCGUUAUCCGGAUUCACUGGGUUUAAAGGGUGCGUAGGUGGGCAAGUAAGUCAGUGGUGAAAUCUCCGGGCUUAACCCGGAAACUGCCAUUGAUACUAUUUGUCUUGAAUACUGUGGAGGUCAGCGGAAUAUGUCAUGUAGCGGUGAAAUGCUUAGAUAUGACAUAGAACACCAAUUGCGAAGGCAGCUGGCUACACAAAUAUUGACACUGAGGCACGAAAGCGUGGGGAUCAAACAGGAUUAGAUACCCUGGUAGUCCACGCCCUAAACUAUGGAUACUCGACAUUUGCGAUAAACCGCAAGUGUCUGAGC
Molecule: ribosomal RNA, 795 nt
Filed under: uncultured Sphingobacteriales bacterium
Lineage: Bacteria; Pseudomonadati; Bacteroidota; Sphingobacteriia; Sphingobacteriales
Description: bacterial SSU rRNA
Rfam family: Bacterial small subunit ribosomal RNA
Source: RNAcentral